This 253-nucleotide ribosomal RNA is filed under the name uncultured bacterium. Its description in RNAcentral is "partial 16S ribosomal RNA". It matches the Rfam family "Archaeal small subunit ribosomal RNA", at positions 474 to 727 of the family's 1478-position model. The record is from RNAcentral.
UACCAGCACCCCGAGUGGUCGGGACGAUUAUUGGGCCUAAAGCAUCCGUAGCCGGUUUUACAAGUCCUCCGUUAAAUCCAGCUGCUUAACAGAUGGGCUGCGGAGGAUACUAUAAGACUAGGAGGCAGGAGAGGCAAGCGGUACUCAGUGGGUAGGGGUAAAAUCCGUUGAUCCAUUGAAGACCACCAGUGGCGAAGGCGGCUUGCCAGAAUGCGCUCGACGGUGAGGGGUGAAAGCUGGGGGAGCAAACCGG